Molecule: long non-coding RNA, 318 nt
Filed under: Elaeis guineensis (African oil palm)
Lineage: Eukaryota; Viridiplantae; Streptophyta; Magnoliopsida; Arecales; Arecaceae
Description: long non-coding RNA (EGUI_LNC023754)
Source: RNAcentral
ACCUCGCCCGGGGAAAAACACUCUUUUGCUUUGGAUGUAGGCUAGGUAAACCUUUGAACAAUGCUAUCAGACACUUAUGGUGAUUGCGACUGUGCUAUCCACCAUCCACUCAUGGUUGGGUGGUGAACUGGUAAUCAUGACACGGGGUUGGUAGAUCUUCCGCUUUCUUGCACGUUGCCCAUAGUCCCGGUGACAUGAUAUGAGCAGGAUACCACACCACUUGCAAGAAGAAAGAAAAGAAACAGGGAUAAUGUUGAAAAAGGCGACACUAGUUGAGCUUUUAUGAACAUCAUCACCACCUGAUUCUAGUAGGGACAC